RNAcentral lists this ribosomal RNA (457 nucleotides) under uncultured bacterium. RNAcentral's name for it is "partial 16S ribosomal RNA". It matches the Rfam family "Bacterial small subunit ribosomal RNA", at positions 29 to 507 of the family's 1533-position model. The record is from RNAcentral.
AUAAACGCUGGCGGCGUGCAUGAGACAUGCAAGUCGAACGCAGGAUCGGGCUUGCUCGAUCCUUAGUGGCGGCCGGCUGAGUAACGCGUAGGUGACCUACCCCGAAGUGGGGAAUAACUGCCCGAAAGGGUGGCUAAUACCGCAUGUGGUCGCACGUUCAUUCGUGCGAGUAAAGCCGCAAGGCGCUUCGGGAGGGGCCUGCGUCCGAUUAGCUCGUUGGUGGGGUAAUGGCUUACCAAGGCGACGAUCGGUAGGUGGUCUGAGAGGACGAUCACCCAGACUGGGACUGAGACACGGCCCAGACUCCUACGGGAGGCAGCAGUCGGGAAUGUUGCUCAAUGGGGGAAACCCUGAAGCAGCAACGCCGCGUGAGGGAUGAAGGCCUUCGGGUUGUAAACCUCUUUUGUCAGGGACGAUGAUGACGGUACCUGGCGAAUAAGCCACGGCUAACUACGUG